CCUACGGGAGGCAGCAGUGAGGAAUAUUGGUCAAUGGCCGGAAGGCUGAACCAGCCAUGCCGCGUGAAGGUCAGUGCCCUAUGGGCGUUAAACUUCUUUUGUGCGGGAGCAAUAAUGGUCACGUGUGGCCAGACGAGAGUACCGUACGAAUAAGCAUCGGCUAACUCCGUGCCAGCAGCCGCGGUAAUACGGGGGAUGCAAGCGUUAGCCGGAUUUAUUGGGUUUAAAGGGUGCGUAGGCUGUGAGGUAAGUCAGCGGUGAAAUGCCCCAGCUCAACGGGGUGAAGUGCCAUUGAUACUGCCUUGCUGGAAUGCGGAUGCCGUGGGAGGAAUGUGUGGUGUAGCGGUGACAUGCAUAGAUAUCACACAGAACACCGAUUGCGAAGGCAUCUAACGAAUCCGCGAUUGACGCUGAUGCACGAAAGCGUGGGUAUCAAACAGGAUUAGAUACCCUAGUAGUC
RNAcentral lists this ribosomal RNA (460 nucleotides) under uncultured bacterium. Its description in RNAcentral is "partial 16S ribosomal RNA". It matches the Rfam family "Bacterial small subunit ribosomal RNA", at positions 338 to 795 of the family's 1533-position model. The record is from RNAcentral.